AAUUGAAAUGCAUGGUUUGUUAAUUGUCAAACAAUAAUAAUUAUCUAAUCACAAUUAUAUCACUAAUUCAAGGACAUGGAAUGAUUAAAAUUCAAGAUCAAUUAAUUAUUAUCCUUUUUCACUUUCACAAUGAUAUUUUAUUUGUUAAUUAUAAUCAUCACCCGAUAGUUACAACAAUUAAUUGUGUUUCUUUUUUCUGGUGUUUUGUUGAUUCUCAUAUUAUUGAUUGUGAGAUUUUUUCUUGUACAUAUUUUUAACAAUCAAGAUUAUCGAAUUGAUAUGAUUAACUGACAAGAGAGUAAUUGAUUGAUCAAGAGGAUGCUAAUCGUUACCCGAUUUGGUAACAAAAAACUCCUAUUGAUCAAUCAAUUCAUCUCUUGUCAAUUAAACAUCUUCAUCAUCAUCUUAAGGGAAAAGUAAUUACCAAAAAAAGGAUUGAUAAGAUACUGGAGAGGAUUAAGUUAUCUUGGUUUUAGUGAGCAAGAAAUUGAUCAUCAGAUGAAAAAGAACGAGAAAACAACAAGAUGAUGAUGAUAAUGUAAAGAAAAGACUUUAGCAUCUUGAUUUCUUUUUCUGAUUAUCUUCAAGAGUCUAUGAAAGUUACAAGGUAUGAAUAGAAACAACUACAAAAUGAUGAGUUAACAUUCAUCUUCACCUUUAACUCUCACUUAUAUAAGAUACUCACUCAGGUAAAUUCAUUCUUCCUGAAACUUGGAAAUUACUCUUAACUUUAUGACGAUAAAAACAGUAAAGAAAGAGGAAGAAGAUGAACUUUUUCUCUUGUCAUCUCUUUCUUUCUUUCUCUCUUCAUCUUUUCAGCUGAAGAGAUACUGUAGUUUCAAAUCUUCAUUAGAUUUGAUUGUUCACAAUUGAAACGUGUGGUUUGGCUUAACACGUUCAUGAUUCUUAAUCAUCAUCAUUACAUUGGAAGUACUGAUCUGAAUGAAGAUGAUGAUGAUUGUUGAAUAACGAAGAGUUUGACAAUCAACUAGAAAUUUGUUAAUUUGUCCUUGUAAUACAAAUAACCACAAUUAACUUUUACUGUCAAUAUUUUAAUCAAACGGAUUGUAAUUAAAGUUUUCAUCUGUAAAUCCAAUUGAUAGUUUGUUUCAAUAUCUCAACAAUUAUUAUUUUAUUUGCAACUUUAGUUAGCUGUUAGUUGUUAUUUAUUAUUACAAUUUAAUUAUCAGAAGUGGAUUAAAUUUGAUUUGCAACAAAUAAUAAUUAAAAGGUUAAUCUACUUCCUUAGAUGGAUUGGAUGAUGAGAUUAACUUUAAUUGUUAAUUUGUAAUCUAAUUUUGCUUACCAACAAUCUCAAAAUGAGAAUGAAAAAUUAAAAUAUUGAUUAUAAUUGUUGCAAUGAUUGCAAUUAAAGUUCCUACGCAACUGAGUUAUUUGAUCAAUGAUAAUGAUGAACACAAUAUUCUGCUCGAAAUAAACAACAACAAUCAAAAGUUAAUCGUGUUACAAUUAAUUUUGAUUUAAUAUAACUACUACCUGGUGGUUAACCUAAUCAUUUAUUGAUUACCAAUUGAUUGUUGAUGAUUUAUUGGUGAAAGUUAAUAUUAACUGUCUCUGCUCAAUUGUUCAUUUGAUUGAUUGAUUCAACUCUAUGCUCAACUUUGUUUGAAAGUGUACGAAACUUAAUGUCUGAAGCUGUAUAUUAGCAACAGUGUUACCAAUUACCAUCAUAUCUUCAUCUUCGUCUUCAUCUUCAUCUUCAUCUUCAUCUUCAUCUUUUCUACCUUUCAUUCCACUCUCUCAACGAAUAAGUAAAGAGAAAGCCUCCCGUUUUCUGUUCUCCUUCCUUGUAUCGAAUAUCGUAAUCCUCAUAAUCGUUUACAACUAAUGACAAGAAGAAAAGAAAAGAACAUCCAUUCACCCUCAGGGUUAAGGUCAUUGUGAGCCGAAUGGAAGAGAAAGAAAAUUUUGUUAGUUUUCUAAUCUAAUCGAUCUACGAUCAAUUAUAGUCAAGUACCCAAAACUAAAUUAUGAACAAUAAGAUGAUCACUUAUUAACAAUAAAGAUAAUACAGUUAAUAGAUUUUAAAAUCGAAGAACUAAAUUCAUGGAAUAUGAACAA
This is a long non-coding RNA of Panonychus citri (citrus red mite), 2082 nucleotides long. RefSeq lists it as uncharacterized. Lineage: Eukaryota; Metazoa; Arthropoda; Arachnida; Trombidiformes; Tetranychidae. The transcript is spliced from 2 exons. The record is from RefSeq and is a predicted model, not a curated record.